GGAAUGUAAAAAAUUCUAACAACGUACCUUUUGCAUAAUGGGUCAGUAAGUUAAUAUCUAAUGCAAGUUGAAAGACCUAAAGAAUUUGAAUUUAAAGCAAGUGUAGAGUAUUAGGUAUUAGACCCGAAACCUAGUGAUCUUACCAUGAUCAGAUGCAAGAUCGAACUGGUGUGCGUUGCAAAGUACUCAGAAGAAUUGUGGUAAGGAGUGAAAUACAAAUCGGACUAGGAUAUAGCUGGUUUUCUGCGAAAUUUGUAUUAGCAAAGUGUUUAUGUAAUAAAUUAGUAGGUAUAGCACUGAAUAUUCAUUCAGAGGGAGUACGUAAGUAUUUAUCUCGGAUAUUUAAUCUCAGAAUGACUAAUUUAUAAGAUAAAUGGAUGGACUUUUUGCGAGAAGGUGGAAAGUCAAGAGGGAAACAGCCCAGAACAGAAUGAAAGCUCCCGAAUUAAAUUUGAGUGAAAGAAAGGAAGUGGUUUUUCAGAGACAGUCAAGAAGUGGGCUUGGAAACAGCCAUCUUUUAAAGAACACGUAAUAGUGCAAUGAUCUAUGAAAGAUUGCGCCAAAAAUACAGGAUCUAAAAUUUGUGCUUAAAUUCUGUCGUGAAGAAAUGAAUUGAAUUUCUUUAUGGGUAGCAGAACAUUUAGUAUCUAAAAGAAGAAUAAUCUUUGAUUGUUUGGAUAGAACUAAAGAGAGAAUGCUGACAUGAGUAACGUUAAAAUAGGUGAGAAAUCCUAUUCGCCGAAAUUGGCAGGUUUUUGUAGUAAAGCUUAACUGCUACAAGUGAAUCGGUCUCUAACAGUAACUCUAAGGAGUAAUGGAUGAGUAAGUAUAUAAAAAGUAAAAGAAGAGUAUAGCUCAGGAAAAAGUAUAUUGAUUAACCGUACUAAAACCGACACAGGUCUAAGGAUGCGUAAAGUAUUCAGGCGAAUGAGAGAAUUAUUGCGAAGGAACUCGGCAAAAUUAUUUCGUAAUUUUGAAAGAAGGAAUGACCUCUGAAUUGGGGGUCUCAAGAAAUGAGGUUGUACAACUGUUUACUUAAAACACAGUACUUUGCAAAGAUGAAAAUCGGAGUAUAAGGUAUGAGAUCUGCCCAAUGCUAAAAGAUGAACGAAGGGUGUAUGAGUAAUACUCCUGGAAAGAAGUCUUAGUGAAUGGCGGCCUUAACUAUAAGGGUCCUAAGGUAGCGAAAUUCCUUGGCCGUUAAAUGCGGUCCCGCAUGAAUGAUAGAAUGAUACAACAACUGUCUCCGCAAUAAACUCAGUGAAAUUGGAAUAGCCGUGCAGAUACGGUUUAUGUGUAGAAAGACGGGAAGACCCUAUGCAGCUUUACUGUAAUUUGUCAUGGAUAAGUCUUUUUAAAAAAGUGUAGAAUAGAAGGUAGUCGAUGAGACACAGAUGAAAUCCCUUUAUUUUCUAAGAAGAAAUCUGACUCUUUCUAUAGAGGACAGUGAUAGAUGGACAGUUUAUGUGGGGCGCAUAUCUCAAAAAGAGUAUCUGAGAUGUCCGAAGGUAAAGUAAAAUUGGAUGGUAACCAAUCAAUGUAAGGAAUUCUUGUUUCUUUAAAGUAUUUCUUUGAAGAAGUUGUUUUAUUGGGAAAAGUAUAAUGAUAGAACUUUGCUUAACAGUAAGACUGACAAGUCGAACUGACACGUAAGUGGGGCAUAGUGACCCUCGUUAACAAAAUGGAAUGUGACGAGCUCAACGGAUAAAAGCUACGCUAGGGAUAACAGGGUAAUUUCGUGUGAGAGAUCCUAUUGACCACGAAGUUUGCCACCUCGAUGUCGACUCAACCUAUCCUCCAGGAGUAGAAUAUUGGAAGGGUUCGGCUGUUCGCCG
Molecule: ribosomal RNA, 1835 nt
Filed under: Oryctolagus cuniculus (rabbit)
Lineage: Eukaryota; Metazoa; Chordata; Mammalia; Lagomorpha; Leporidae
Description: bacterial LSU rRNA
Rfam family: Bacterial large subunit ribosomal RNA
Source: RNAcentral